GUGCCCGUAGCUCAGCUGGAUAGAGCAACAGCCUUCUAAGCUGUGGGUCACUGGUUCGAAUCCAGUCGGGCACGCAA
RNAcentral lists this transfer RNA (77 nucleotides) under [Chlorobium] sp. 445. RNAcentral's name for it is "Chlorobium sp. 445 tRNA-Arg". It matches the Rfam family "tRNA". From Rfam's summary of the family: Transfer RNA (tRNA) molecules are approximately 80 nucleotides in length. Their secondary structure includes four short double-helical elements and three loops (D, anti-codon, and T loops). Further hydrogen bonds mediate the characteristic L-shaped molecular structure. tRNAs have two regions of fundamental functional importance: the anti-codon, which is responsible for specific mRNA codon recognition, and the 3' end, to which the tRNAs corresponding amino acid is attached (by aminoacyl-tRNA synthetases). tRNAs cope with the degeneracy of the genetic code in two manners: having more than one tRNA (with a specific anti-codon) for a particular amino acid; and 'wobble' base-pairing, i.e. permitting non-standard base-pairing at the 3rd anti-codon position. Lineage: Bacteria; Pseudomonadati; Chlorobiota; Chlorobiia; Chlorobiales; Chloroherpetonaceae. The record is from RNAcentral.